This 556-nucleotide long non-coding RNA is filed under the name Salmo salar (Atlantic salmon). Its description in RNAcentral is "lncRNA (ENSSSAG00000110687.1)". Lineage: Eukaryota; Metazoa; Chordata; Actinopteri; Salmoniformes; Salmonidae. The record is from RNAcentral.
GCUAGCUACAUCUGUAAACGCUAGCUGGUUAGCCAGGUUAGAUAUGUAGGUAAUGUAGAGAGAGCAGGUCAGUUAUAGAGGGGAAGGUAGUUAGCUAGUUAGCUACAUCUGUAAACGCUAGCUGGUUAGCCAGGUUAGAUAUGUAGGUAAUGUAGAGAGAGCAGGUCAGUUAUAGAGGGGAAGGUAGUUAGCUAGCUAGCUACAUCUGUAAACGCUAGCUGGUUAGCCAGGUUAGAUAUGUAGGUAAUGUAGAGAGAGCAGGUCAGUUAUAGAGAGGAAGGUAGUUAGCUAGCUAGCUACAUCUGUAAACGCUAGCUGGUUAGCCAGGUUAGAUAUGUAGGUAAUGUAGAGAGAGCAGGUCAGUUAUAGAGGGGAAGGUAGUUAGCAGGAAUAACUCCUGGUUUGUCUAGAAAGGACUAAAUGUUUAGGUCUGGUUAGGCCACCGUGUCAGAUAGUCGACUAAACAGUUGUUGUUUGUCCCGUCGGAUUAGCAUUCAGAUCAUGGCUAACCUAACUAAACUAACUAACUAACUAACUAACUAUUCCCGUUAGUUAA